This 796-nucleotide ribosomal RNA is filed under the name Staphylococcus caprae. Its description in RNAcentral is "bacterial SSU rRNA". It matches the Rfam family "Bacterial small subunit ribosomal RNA", at positions 48 to 827 of the family's 1533-position model. The record is from RNAcentral. Lineage: Bacteria; Bacillati; Bacillota; Bacilli; Caryophanales; Staphylococcaceae.
GCUAUACAUGCAGUCGAGCGAACAGACGAGGAGCUUGCUCCUCUGACGUUAGCGGCGGACGGGUGAGUAACACGUGGAUAACCUACCUAUAAGACUGGGAUAACUUCGGGAAACCGGAGCUAAUACCGGAUAACAUGUUGAACCGCAUGGUUCAACAGUGAAAGACGGUCUUGCUGUCACUUAUAGAUGGAUCCGCGCCGCAUUAGCUAGUUGGUAAGGUAACGGCUUACCAAGGCAACGAUGCGUAGCCGACCUGAGAGGGUGAUCGGCCACACUGGAACUGAGACACGGUCCAGACUCCUACGGGAGGCAGCAGUAGGGAAUCUUCCGCAAUGGGCGAAAGCCUGACGGAGCAACGCCGCGUGAGUGAUGAAGGUCUUCGGAUCGUAAAACUCUGUUAUUAGGGAAGAACAAAUGUGUAAGUAACUAUGCACGUCUUGACGGUACCUAAUCAGAAAGCCACGGCUAACUACGUGCCAGCAGCCGCGGUAAUACGUAGGUGGCAAGCGUUAUCCGGAAUUAUUGGGCGUAAAGCGCGCGUAGGCGGUUUUUUAAGUCUGAUGUGAAAGCCCACGGCUCAACCGUGGAGGGUCAUUGGAAACUGGAAAACUUGAGUGCAGAAGAGGAAAGUGGAAUUCCAUGUGUAGCGGUGAAAUGCGCAGAGAUAUGGAGGAACAUCAGUGGCGAAGGCGACUUUCUGGUCUGUAACUGACGCUGAUGUGCGAAAGCGUGGGGAUCAAACAGGAUUAGAUACCCUGGUAGUCCACGCCGUAAACGAUGAGUGCUAAGUGUUAGG